AAAGCCGUCUGUGUUUCAAUCUCUUAUUGAAAGUUUACCCAGUGACUGGUAAAUGCGUUUCCCUGCGUGAUAACCCCCCGCUGCUGCUGCAGAUCAGCACAUCCUCUUGCCACAUUGCCAUUUGCUGGUAGGAUUUGUGUUUAUCUGCCUUUGCAGAAUUAAGUUAUUUCCCCUGCCUCACACUCUCCUUCAGCUGGACUGCUCGUGAAGCGGUGCUGUCACAAGAGCAGGGAGCUGUCUGAGAAGUGACCUGCCAAACACCCUUUUCUCUUUCCCCCAAAGCUAGAUCCCUUGCCCAGCUGAUGGCGUGAUCUCAAAAACAGUUGUGAUGGCACAGGGCCUGGAGCAAGCGGCUGGCUGGGAGACGGGCUGGUGACUUCUGAUACAACCAGACACUUAAGGGAACGAUUCAUAAAGAGAAGCCUGGAAAGACUAAAGCUGCAAGAACAGGAGCACAGUUGAAAAAAAAAAGGAAAGACAAAAAAAAAAAAAAAAAGGGGGAGGGAAAAAAAGAAGAGGGUUGAAAGAAAAAAACGUGAUGAUGAACAAAAAGUUCAAGAGAGAAAAAAGAAAGCUAAGCUCAAGAAGAGAGGAGAGGCAGAUAGAUGGAGAUGAAAAGCAUCCCCAAAAGCAGCACAAAGUACCAACUGAAGAACAGCAGUGUCCAGAGAAUGUGCCUGAAUGGGAAGAAAGGAAAUCCCUGCUAGCUCAGAGAAGAGCGGAGUCUAUCAGACUGCUUACAGUGCUGUUAAACCAUGUGAAAGUAAGAAUACUUUAAAACAUAUUUUAAAAUUUGAA
This 798-nucleotide long non-coding RNA is filed under the name Gallus gallus (chicken). Its description in RNAcentral is "long non-coding RNA NONGGAT006770". Lineage: Eukaryota; Metazoa; Chordata; Aves; Galliformes; Phasianidae. The record is from RNAcentral.